This 141-nucleotide ribosomal RNA is filed under the name uncultured bacterium. RNAcentral's name for it is "partial 16S ribosomal RNA". It matches the Rfam family "Bacterial small subunit ribosomal RNA", at positions 349 to 507 of the family's 1533-position model. The record is from RNAcentral.
CAGCAGUGGGGAAUUUUGCGCAAUGGGGGAAACCCUGACGCAGCAACGCCGCGUGGAGGAUGAAGUAUUUCGGUACGUAAACUCCUUUCGAUUGGGACAAUAAUGACGAUACCAAUAGAAGAAGCCCCGGCUAACUUCGUU